AUACUUACCUGGCAGGGGAGAUACUAUGAUCACGAAGGUGGUUUUCCCAGGGCGAGGCUUAUCCAUUGCACUCCGGAUGUGCUGACCCCUGCGAUUUCCCCAAAUGUGGGAAACUCGACUGCAUAAUUUGUGGUAGUGGGGGACUGCGUUCGUGCUUUCCCCUG
Molecule: small nuclear RNA, 164 nt
Filed under: Neogale vison (American mink)
Lineage: Eukaryota; Metazoa; Chordata; Mammalia; Carnivora; Mustelidae
Description: Neovison vison (American mink) U1 spliceosomal RNA (ENSNVIG00000021219.1)
Rfam family: U1 spliceosomal RNA
About the family: U1 is a small nuclear RNA (snRNA) component of the spliceosome (involved in pre-mRNA splicing). Its 5' end forms complementary base pairs with the 5' splice junction, thus defining the 5' donor site of an intron.
Source: Rfam by way of RNAcentral